This 73-nucleotide transfer RNA is filed under the name Camponotus floridanus (Florida carpenter ant). It matches the Rfam family "tRNA". Rfam says of the family: Transfer RNA (tRNA) molecules are approximately 80 nucleotides in length. The record is from Rfam by way of RNAcentral. Lineage: Eukaryota; Metazoa; Arthropoda; Insecta; Hymenoptera; Formicidae.
GUCUGGAUAGCUCAGUGGUCUAGAGCAGUUGCUCGGGAAGCGAAAGACUCGGGUUCGAUUCCCGAUUCAGCCA